RNAcentral lists this transfer RNA (98 nucleotides) under Streptomyces virginiae. Its description in RNAcentral is "tRNA-Phe". The record is from RNAcentral. Lineage: Bacteria; Bacillati; Actinomycetota; Actinomycetes; Kitasatosporales; Streptomycetaceae. RNAcentral also lists the same sequence under 1 other name.
CCGGUUGCGCGGGGCGCGGUAGCUCUCCCCGGUGAAGUCGGGCUCGGGCAGCGCCGCGCGGUCCAGCUUGCCGUUGGGGGCCAGCGGCAGCCGGUCCA